AUGUACCAUUAAUGCCUGCAGAAACUCUUUAACCAUAUUCUAACCUGCUCUUUUAUUUAGAUACCCAAGUGCUUACAGUAUGUUCCCUUUAGUCUGGAUUUAUCAAAUAACAUGCAGGAUCCAUCUGCCUCUGUGGAGAAAAAGAGGGAUACUACUGAGAUGUCUGAUCGAGUACAUAGGGGAGAGACAAGAAGAACUCAUUAAUGACCACCACAUGUGUCAAAGUCGUGAUAAAACUGAGGUGCACGCAGUUGCACAACGAACAUUUACAUAUAAAAGCCUGAUGCCAUCUGCAUUAUCACAGAAGGACAUCCAGUCGUCAGAGGUCUGACCAACCUGUCACAAGCAUGCUGCCUUCUCUUUAGACUUACCUAUGGCCUGGAACUUAAGUACUUAAGUUUGUAAUGUGCCUUUAAGGGAAAUGGACUUAACUUUUUUGUUUUUUACCAGUCAAUACCAUGAAAUAGAUACUCAACCAUAUUGUGUGCACAAUCUAGCAGUUCUUCAAAAUUAAUAUGUUCAAAAUAGGGCUCAGCAAUAUGGUUACAAAUCAUACUUACUGCAAUUAUGUUAAUAUUGCAGUAUUAAUGGGAUGCUGUGAAGUCUCACAUUUACCUUUUAUUGCAGGUAAUGGUUACAUUUAUGGCCUGUUUUGUAAUGGUACUGAUACUGUUAGAAGUGAAACCUUUGAA
Perca flavescens (yellow perch) is the source of this 692-nucleotide long non-coding RNA. RefSeq lists it as uncharacterized. The record is from RefSeq and is a predicted model, not a curated record. NCBI's taxonomy places the organism in Eukaryota, Metazoa, Chordata, Actinopteri, Perciformes, Percidae. The transcript has 3 exons.